Molecule: long non-coding RNA, 841 nt
Organism: Camelina sativa (false flax)
Lineage: Eukaryota; Viridiplantae; Streptophyta; Magnoliopsida; Brassicales; Brassicaceae
Source: RefSeq, a predicted model, not a curated record
UGACGUGUCACACUCUCAAGGAAAGCUUGGUUUCAUUUUUCAUUGGCUUCGACAUUUCUUUUUCUUCUUCUCUCGCAAACGGCGACAAGGCGAAACGGCAAAACGGUGAGAGAUUUGUGUUCUCAUCACCGUCGUCUCCUCUGUCUCCUCGUUCCGGCCAUUGAAACACCAAGUCAACCGAUCUCCUCUGUCUCCUCGUCUCCUCGUUUCCUCGUGUCCACCGAUUCUCGAUUGCCUCCGCAAUAGAAGAGGCAAUCGUGAAAAGAUCGGUGAGAAAAGGGUUUUGGUGUUUAAGCAUCGUGGUGGUUCCAAGUCCAAUUGGGUUAUGCACGAGUACCACGCUACGCCCAUGUCUCCUCCUAAUCAGAUGAUGAAAUAUACACUUUGUAAAGUUGAGUUCAAGGGUGAAGAGAGUGAGAUUUCGUCUCUUUAAUCCCUCUUAUGAACAAUUCUGGAGAACUGAGUCCAACAUCUGAGGGAUCGUCGUACUACCAAGGAAUACAGAAUCCAAGUCAGCUUAGUAGUGGCUUUCUUGGAGUGCAGCAAAUUUCUAGAACAUACCGUUUUGUACUUUCCAAAUUUCUGUUUUGUACUUUCCAAAUUUCUAGAAGCACAAGCUAUGUCUAUUUCUGGUUUUCUCUGGUUUUGUAACUUUUUCAUAUUGUGUGAUUGUGCUUCGUAUGUACGUACUCGCUCUAUAUGAAAAGGGUGGAUUUAUGCUAAGAAGUGGUUAGGAAAGAUAAAUUUGUACAAGUAACGAAAUUUUAUGUCUAUCUUGUUCUGUAACUUUUCGCUAUUGUAAAUGUGGAUGUUUUGUAAUAUAUAUGAAUGUUUUUAAGUA